Manis pentadactyla (Chinese pangolin) is the source of this 104-nucleotide small nuclear RNA. The record is from RefSeq and is a predicted model, not a curated record. NCBI's taxonomy places the organism in Eukaryota, Metazoa, Chordata, Mammalia, Pholidota, Manidae.
UUGCUCAUGUUCACAGCACAUAUACUAGAAUUGGAACAGUACAGAGAUUAGCAUGACCCCUAAACAAGGAGGACGUGCAAGUUCCUGAAGCAUUCCAUAUUUUU